ACAUCCCAACUCAUAGGGACUACCCCUGAAUUAAGCAUAUUAAUUAGGGGAGAAAAAACUAACAAGGAUUUCUUAGUACGGCGAGCGAAGAAAAAACAGUUAGCACUAAGUCACUUUGUCUAUAUGGCAAAUGUGAGAUGCAGUGUAUGGAGCGUCAAUAUUCUAGUAUGAGAAAUUAAUGAUUUAAGUCCUUUAAAUGAGGCAUUUACCCAUAGAGGGUGCCAGCCCGUAUAACGUUAAUGAUUGCUAGAUGAUUUUCCAAAGAGUGUUGCUGAUAGUGCAGCACUAAGUGGGUGGUAACUCCAUCUAAACUAAAUAUAAACAUGAGACCGAAGUAAACAAGUACCGUGAGGGAAGUUGAAAAGAACUCUGAAUAGAGAGUUAAACAGUACGUGAAACUGCUUAGAGGUUAAGCCCGAUGAACCUGAAUAUCCGUAUGGAAAAUUCAUCAUUAAAAUUGUAAUAUUUAAUAUAUUUAAGAAUAAUGUGCAUUUUUUCCAUAUAAGGACAUUGUAAUCUAUUAGAUAUCCCAAAUUUAUCAUAAAUAUAAUAUAGUUUAUUCCAAUAAUGCUUCAUUUAACACAGAAUAAAUGUAUUAAUUGAUAAAGUGCUGAUAGAUUUAUAUUAUUACAGAGCGUUAAUUUUUCGGAAUUAUAUAAUGGCAUAAUUAUCAUUGAUUUUUGUGUUAUUAUAUGCUCUUGUAUGAUUAACAAUGCGAAAGAUUCAGGAUACCUUCGGGACCCGUCUUGAAACACGGACCAAGGAGUCUAACAUAUGUGCAAGUUAUUGGGAUGUAAACCUAAUAGCGUAAUUAACUUGACUAAUAAUGGGAUAGUUUUUUAGCUAUUUAUAGCUAAUUAACACAAUCCGGGCGUUCUAUAUAGUUAUGUAUAAUGUAUAUUUAUAUUAUUUAUGCCUUAACUGGAACGUACCUUGAGCAUAUAUGCUGUGACCCGAAAGAUGGUGAACUAUACUGAUCAGGUUGAAGUCAGGGGAAACCCUGAUGGAAGACCGAAACAGUUCUGACGUGCAAAUCGAUUGUCAGAAUUGAGUAUAGGGGCGAAAAGACCAAUCGAACCAUCUAGUAGCUGUUCUUCCGAAGUUUCCCUCAGGAUAGCUGGUGCAUUUUAAUAUUAUAUAAAAUAAUCUUAUCUGGUAAAGCGAAUGAUUAGAGGCCUUAGGGUCGAAACGAUCUUAACCUAUUCUCAAACUUUAAAUGGGUAAGAACCUUAACUUUCUUGAUAUGAAGUUCAAGGUUAUGAUAUAAUGUGCCCAGUGGGCCACUUUUGGUAAGCAGAACUGGCGCUGUGGGAUGAACCAAACGUAAUGUUACGGUGCCCAAAUUAACAACUCAUGCAGAUACAUGAAAGGCGUUGGUUGCUUAAAACAGCAGGACGGUGAUCAUGGAAGUCGAAAUCCGCUAAGGAGUGUGUAACAACUCACCUGCCGAAGCAACUAGCCCUUAAAAUGGAUGGCGCUUAAGUUGUAUACCUAUACAUUACCGCUAAAGUAGAUGAUUUAUAUUACUUGUGAUAUAAAUUUUGAAACUUUAGUGAGUAGGAAGGUACAAUGGUAUGCGUAGAAGUGUUUGGCGUAAGCCUGCAUGGAGCUGCCAUUGGUACAGAUCUUGGUGGUAGUAGCAAAUAAUCGAAUGAGACCUUGGAGGACUGAAGUGGAGAAGGGUUUCGUGUGAACAGUGGUUGAUCACGAGUUAGUCGGUCCUAAGUUCAAGGCGAAAGCCGAAAAUUUUCAAGUAAAACAAAAAUGCCUAACUAUAUAAACAAAGCGAAUAUAUACACUUGAAUAAUUUUGAACGAAAGGGAAUACGGUUCCAAUUCCGUAACCUGUUGAGUAUCCGUUUGUUAUUAAAUAUGGGCCUCGUGCUCAUCCUGGCAACAGGAACGACCAUAAAGAAGCGUCGAGAGAUAUCGGAAGAGUUUUCUUUUCUGUUUUAUAGCCGUACUACCAUGGAAGUCUUUCGCAGAGAGAUAUGGUAGAUGGGCUAGAAGAGCAUGACAUAUACUGUUGUGUCGAUAUUUUCUCCUCGGACCUUGAAAAUUUAUGGUGGGGACACGCAAACUUCUCAACAGGCCGUACCAAUAUCCGCAGCUGGUCUCCAAGGUGAAGAGUCUCUAGUCGAUAGAAUAAUGUAGGUAAGGGAAGUCGGCAAAUUAGAUCCGUAACUUCGGGAUAAGGAUUGGCUCUGAAGAUUGAGAUAGUCGGGCUUGAUUGGGAAACAAUAACAUGGUUUAUGUGCUCGUUCUGGGUAAAUAGAGUUUCUAGCAUUUAUGUUAGUUACUUGUUCCCCGGAUAGUUUAGUUACGUAGCCAAUUGUGGAACUUUCUUGCUAAAAUUUUUAAGAAUACUAUUUGGGUUAAACAAUUAGUUCUUAUCAAUUAUAACGAUUAUCAAUUAACAAUCAAUUCAGAACUGGCACGGACUUGGGGAAUCCGACUGUCUAAUUAAAACAAAGCAUUGUGAUGGCCCUAGCGGGUGUUGACACAAUGUGAUUUCUGCCCAGUGCUCUGAAUGUCAAAGUGAAGAAAUUCAAGUAAGCGCGGGUCAACGGCGGGAGUAACUAUGACUCUCUUAAGGUAGCCAAAUGCUCGUCAUCUAAUUAGUGACGCGCAUGAAUGGAUUAACGAGCGUGUACUGUUGCGCUCGUGUACUAGAUUGCGAACAGCUUGGGGGGGUUUUGGAAAUAAUAAAUCGGUGAAUUAGUGCCUUGCGAAGUCUGUGCUGUAAGGAGUGUAAGGAGACAUAGAUUUGAAGAAAUUAAGAGAUUGUUGGGAAUUUUGGUAUAGCAGUGCUGAACCGAACUUCUUACUUACUUGAUUAACUUGAACGUGGAUCAUUUCUAUUUCCUAGCAUAUACGGAUAUAUUUAUUAUAUCUUAUGGUAUUGGGUUUUGAUGCAAGCUUCUUGAUCAAAGUAUCACGGUUUGUUAUAUAAUCGCAAACAAAUUCUUUAAUAAAACGAUGCAUUUAUGUAUUUUUGAUUUGAAAAUUUGGCUAUAACUCCAAUUACUCAGUAUUGAUCCAAUUCAAGGACAUUGCCAGGUGGGAGUUUGACUGGGGCGUACAUCUCUCAAAUAAUAACGGAGGUGUCCCAAGGCCAGCUCAGUGCGGACAGAAACCACACAUAGAGCAAAAGGGCAAAUGCUGACUUGAUCUCGGUGUCAGUACACACAGGGACAGCAAAAGCUCGGCCUAUCGAUCCUUUGGUUUAAAGAGUUUUUAACAAGAGGUGUCAGAAAAGUUACCAUAGGAUAACUGGCUUUGGCGGCAAGCGUUCAUAGCGACGUCGCUUUUGAUCCUUCGAUGUCCGGCUCUUCCUAUCAUGUGAAGCAAAAUUCACCAAGCGUUGGAUGUUACCCAUAACAAGGAACGUGAGCUGGUUUAGACCGUCGGAGACAGUAUAGUUUUACCUACUAAUGACAAAACGUUGUUGACAGCAUUCCUCGUAGUACGAAGGAACCGCAGACGACAAUGGCACAAUACUUGUUCGAGCGAAACAGUGGUAUGACGCUACGUCCGUUGGAUUAUGCCUGAACGCCUCUAAGGUGAUCCGUGACUGCAAUGAUAUAAUAGAGGGCAAUUGAUUGUAUGUCUAAACCAUUUAAAGUUUAUAAUUUAUUUUAUAAACGACAAUGGAUGUGAUGCCAAUGUAAUUGUACAUAGUAAAUUAGGAGGAUCUUCGAUCACCUGAUGCCGCGCUAGUUACAUUAAAAGCAUUAUUUAAUACAGACAAAGCCUAGAAUCAAUGUAAACGACUUUUGUAACAGGCAAGGUGUUGUAAGUGGUUGAAGCUGCCAUACUGCGAUCCACUGAAGCUUAUCCUUUGCUUGAUGAUUCGAU
Drosophila sechellia is the source of this 3857-nucleotide ribosomal RNA. The record is from RefSeq and is a predicted model, not a curated record. Lineage: Eukaryota; Metazoa; Arthropoda; Insecta; Diptera; Drosophilidae.